AGGGAAUCUUCCGCAAUGGACGAAAGUCUGACGGAGCAACGCCGCGUGAGUGAAGAAGGUCUUCGGAUCGUAAAACUCUGUUGUUAGGGAAGAACAAGUAUCGUUCGAGUAGGGCGGUACCUUGACGGUACCUAACCAGAAAGCCACGGCUAACUACGUGCCAGCAGCCGCGGUAAUACGUAGGUGGCAAGCGUUGUCCGGAAUUAUUGGACGUAAAGCGCGCGCAGGCGGUUUCUUAAGUCUGAUGUGAAAGCCCCCGGCUCAACCGGGGAGGGUCAUUGGAAACUGGGGAACUUGAGUGCAGAAGAGGAGAGUGGAAUUCCACGUGUAGCGGUGAAAUGCGUAGAGAUGUGGAGGAACACCAGUGGCGAAGGCGACUCUCUGGUCUGUAACUGACGCUGAGGCGCGAAAGCGUGGGGAGCAAAC
This 426-nucleotide ribosomal RNA is filed under the name uncultured bacterium. Its description in RNAcentral is "bacterial SSU rRNA". It matches the Rfam family "Bacterial small subunit ribosomal RNA", at positions 356 to 773 of the family's 1533-position model. The record is from RNAcentral.